AGUCCCGCAACGAGCGCAACCCUUGUCCUUAGUUACCAGCGGGUUAAGCCGGGAACUCUAAGGAUACUGCCAGUGACAAACUGGAGGAAGGCGGGGACGACGUCAAGUCAUCAUGGCCCUUACGACCAGGGCUACACACGUGCUACAAUGGUAGGUACAGAGGGCAGCUACACAGCGAUGUGAUGCGAAUCUCAAAAAGCCUAUCGUAGUCCAGAUUGGAGUCUGCAACUCGACUCCAUGAAGUAGGAAUCGCUAGUAAUCGCGGAUCAGAAUGCCGCGGUGAAUACGUUCCCGGGCCUU
RNAcentral lists this ribosomal RNA (300 nucleotides) under uncultured bacterium. RNAcentral's name for it is "bacterial SSU rRNA". It matches the Rfam family "Bacterial small subunit ribosomal RNA", at positions 1083 to 1382 of the family's 1533-position model. The record is from RNAcentral.